Long non-coding RNA from Oncorhynchus tshawytscha (Chinook salmon), 478 nucleotides. The record is from Ensembl. NCBI's taxonomy places the organism in Eukaryota, Metazoa, Chordata, Actinopteri, Salmoniformes, Salmonidae.
GCUGCAGCGCGACCGAGGCGGAGGCUGUCAAGCAACUUUUGUGUAUGAACUUCCAAGUUUUGAACGAUAGCAAAAGGAAGGAGAAACUGGAGUAAAGGGAACAACGGAUAAGAAAAGACAAUACUAUUUUGACGUUUUUGUCGUGGUGAAAAUCUAGAGACUCGACGCUCACCUUGUGGCCAAACAUUGUGAUAGAGGUUUUCCUGGAAUCUGUGUCUCUCUGAGAACGGCGGAGGUGGGGAGAGGAAAGAUUAUCCUGAGACUGACACACAAGACAGGACAGGAGCCUAAAGACACAAGGCACAGGCCAACCAUCACCAGGGAGAGAGGGAGAGGGAGAGAGAGAGAGACCUUGCUGUUGAGAGGGUCCUCGAUAGGCAGACAUGGCUCUCAAGAGAAGACAGGCUAUGUGCACACUGCCCACAAAAUGAGGUGGAAACUGAGAUGCACUUCCUAACCUCCUGCCCAAUGUAUGACC